AAGUAUCUUUAUAUUCAUUAGGCAAAAUAAAGGUCUAAAUUAUUUUAAGUAGUCAUACUAUGGUGUGGCAGAGAAUUAUAAAUCUUAAUAUUGUUCAUGCUGUGGUUUCAUAUAUGAUAUCUUUUAAACUAACAAAUUGUAGACACUGAAAAUUUAUUACUUCUGAAGAGAAAUAUUGAUUAUUAUAAUUUUUAAUGGAAGAUUUAAAAACAAGAUAUCUUGAUAUCCAGCAAAACUUUCUAAAACUAGAACUUAAAAUUAAGGGCCCAGAUUGUUUGUUUUUUUUUUUUUUUGGUGGAAAGGCAUACUUUAAAUAUGGGCACAUAAAUAUUGAAAGCAAUUUGAGAUGUCCCCUCUCUCUGGUUCCCAGGCAGGAAAUGUAUAACAGAAACACCUGUGGAGCUCUCUGAAAAUAUUUUGGUGGGGGAUUUGGUUUUGGCAGCUUCUUUCCAAAAUUUAACAUUUAUACACUGCAUGUAUAACUAAAACUUAGUACCAUUUUCUUGUGCAUAAAACUCCUAUUUUAGGAAUAUUCCAUGGCUUGAAUUAAACAAUGUGUAAAGUUAUUUUUACACGUAGUAAGCAUUUAGUGCUAGUGUUUACUCACCACUUCCAUUCAUAUGAAGAGUUUAGAAACUAAUCUUUGUCCUUAGCGGCAGUGGAUAAUUUACAGUACUUUUACCUUAUUAGAAUAUAUAACCUGAUUUUGUUGUUUUUUUUUUUAAGUCUUCUAUUCAAGUCACUAAACUUUAUAUUCAUAUAAGGUUUAAUCCACAGCAUGUCAUGAUGCUGGCCUUUGAUAACUUUUUUCAAGAGUCCUUGGACAGAUGACUGUGACCAUUGUGGCCAUAUUCUUACCUAAUCCACACAUUGGAGAACGUGUUUAUCAAGUUUAUGAGUUAUAUUUCCACUAAUCUUCGUAAAAGUAAUUAUCUUGCUUAUUAUUACAUGAAAUAAAUGUUGCACGUGAACAAGCAUUUUUUAAUAAUGAGUCUGUUUAUUACUGAACUAAGUUUAUACGUUAGCAAGGGUUUCAGUAAAAUAAGAUUUGUGUUAAAUAAUCUUCAGAAGUGGUAUUCUGUGGUGAUAAAAAUUGCUUUAGGGUUGCAUUUAUAUCGCUGCGGUCAUACCAAGGGUCAGGAUAUAGGUUUUUAGUUGGCAAAACCAUCAAGGACUCCAUUUAGAAGGGUAUUUUUAAUAAAAUUUAUUGAGUAUUUUAAUUACAGCCCUCUGCUUUCAUGUAUUUUUGCUAGCAAAAUAGUCUUUGACCAUAGGUUUAAUGCACUCUCACUACAAGGAGAGAAGGGUUUUGAGGGUGGAGAGACUUGAACCUGUAGUGUGGCAGGCAUUCUACAAAAUAUAUUUUCAGAAAUACCCUAUGUGGUAGGCUUUGUUAUCUUUUCUUUACAAGUGAAGAGGCGAAUUCAAAAGAUGCCUAUGGUUGGUUACACAGCUUUUGAUUUGCAUAGGUAUUCGAACCCAGGUUUUGCUGACUUCAAUGCUUUACCUUAAAAGAUGCUUUUUUAGAAUGGUAGAUGUUAAUAGAUGGUCUGUGUAAUUAGUUUCCUGGGCCUCCUGCAACAACAUAGAAAAAAAUGGGUAACGUAACAUUUAUUCUCUCACAAUUCCAGAGGCCAGAAGUCCAAAAUCAAGGUGUCAGCAGGGCGAUGCUCUCUGAAGGCUCUAGAGGAGAAUCCUUCCUUACCUCUUCCAAACUUGUGGCAGUUCUCAGCAGUCCUUGGUGUUCUUGGCUUGUAGAUGCAUCACUCCAAUAUCUGCCUCCAUCACCCCCCAGCUGUCUUUCCUCAUAUGUUUUUGCAUCAUCUUACCUCUGCGUCUGUGUUCAAGUUUUCUUCUGCUUAUGAGGACAUCGGUUAUAUUUGUUUAGGAGCCUACCCUAUUCCAGUGUGAUCUCAUCUUAGUUACAUCUACCAUGACCUUAUUUCCAAAUAAGGUUACAUUUUCAGACAUGGUAGUUAAGACUUUAACGUAUAUUUUUGGGGUUGAGAGGACACAAUUCAGUUGGUAACAGCUAUGACAAAAUUGGGUAAAUUGAUGAACAUCUUAAAAAAAACACAGUGGAAGAGGCAGGCACUGUAGAGUGACAAAAUACAUCUUUAUAGAAAUUCCAUGUUAAAAUUAUUUUGUGUUAUAAUAAUCAAAUUUAAAUACCUAAUACAUAUAUUACCAUUAAACAGGAUAGUCAGCACUACCUAGUUUUUUAGCUGAAUUUGUAAUGUCCAUAUGUUUAUGUUUCUUUAGUAAUACUUGAACUAAAGGAAUUUGCAAAGAAAACCCAAUAAUAUUAGUAUUACAUCAAAAAGUUACUGUGUAUUUUUCUUCCAUCAAGAAAUAAUGCUGACUUUUAAAGGUGGAGGAGUUUUUAGACUUCAGUAAACAUAGGUACCCUGAAAAUGUGCACUGUUGUAUCUUUUCACUUUUGUAUGUCAGUGCUUUGAAAGAAUGGACAAUGUUAUCAUUUUGUUUUGUCUGCUUAUUAAAAUUUUCUCCCUAGU
RNAcentral lists this long non-coding RNA (2516 nucleotides) under Homo sapiens (human). RNAcentral's name for it is "HSALNT0337934". Lineage: Eukaryota; Metazoa; Chordata; Mammalia; Primates; Hominidae. The record is from RNAcentral.